This 155-nucleotide small nuclear RNA is filed under the name Pogona vitticeps (central bearded dragon). Its description in RNAcentral is "U1 spliceosomal RNA (ENSPVIG00000019852.1)". It matches the Rfam family "U1 spliceosomal RNA". Rfam says of the family: U1 is a small nuclear RNA (snRNA) component of the spliceosome (involved in pre-mRNA splicing). Its 5' end forms complementary base pairs with the 5' splice junction, thus defining the 5' donor site of an intron. There are significant differences in sequence and secondary structure between metazoan and yeast U1 snRNAs, the latter being much longer (568 nucleotides as compared to 164 nucleotides in human). Lineage: Eukaryota; Metazoa; Chordata; Lepidosauria; Squamata; Agamidae. The record is from Rfam by way of RNAcentral.
AUUCAUACCUUGCAUGGGAGAUACCAUGAUCAUUGAAGUGGUUUUCCCAGGGUGAGGCUCAACCAUUGCACUUCAGGUGUGCUGAUCCCUGUGAUUUCCGCAGAUGUGGGAAAAUCACCUGCCUAAGUGGGGGACUGCAUUUGUAGUUUCCCCUG